This 1499-nucleotide long non-coding RNA is filed under the name Bemisia tabaci. RNAcentral's name for it is "lncRNA ENSSSA1UGG002520". Lineage: Eukaryota; Metazoa; Arthropoda; Insecta; Hemiptera; Aleyrodidae. The record is from RNAcentral.
GCGCAUGGUGCAUGGUACUUGCAGUAUGCCACGCCUAUGAAAGAUGGAGCCUCUUUUAAAACAAUGAACCCCUCAUGCGGAAUUUACAAUACAUUUGAUUCGGCAUGCGGCUGUAUUGGAAUUUUCUACACAAAAGGCAAGAAAGAAGAGUACACUGGAACAUCAUUUGGCUACUUGAAAGAGUAAGAAAAUAUUGUCUUAACCUUCAAUAAUUAGAACGCAUUUCGACGGUGUAAGUCCGAAACCACGUAUCUACUUUGCUGUGUUUGAAAAUCUCCACUUCUACAUUACUUUUUAAAAGAGAAAAAAUCGACAUCAUUCCUUGAAGUUUUAGCAAAGUUUUCUUCGGGCGGAGAGGAAAAAUCACGGUAAUUUUUAAGAAUUGCGCCUUCGCUAGGGUUAUUGAGCACUGGCGCGGCGCGCAGUGCAUAAUGCUCAACGUGCGGUGCGGACAAGAAAAGCAAGGCGCCUUCAAAUUUUCUAAUAUGCAACAUGCACACUCAUAAAGCACGAAUAGUUGCAUCCAGGCCCUGUGAUAAACAUUCCCUCCAUUCGCGCAUCUAUCGACUGCAAAACGGAGGGAAAUACUGUGCGCGUGCUCCUAAAUGGAUUCUCACGGCACUGAUGCUCAAAUAUUUAAGAACUGCAAUUCCUUAAUGUGAUCAGAAAAAUUUGAAUAGUAAAGUAAUGCAGAUAACAUUUUCAGUAUUCAAAAUUAAUUUUCGUAAUCAUGUUGAAAUUUCUAAUUUUCCAGCGAAAACUUGAUGUUUAUCAGGAAUUUCACAACUGCCACCGUGGACAUUGACGGCAGAAAAUCCGAAAAACCAGUGGUACAGCAUUUAGAAGAAUUACAGUGCCGAAGCAUUACAAGCAGUGCACGAUAGAAUUCCCAGAGCUGAAACCUGCCGGUGAGGAUGUUCAAAUACGAUACUACGAUCUGGUAGCAUCUGAUGACAACAAAUCUUAUCGAGUAUUGAUAAGUUGCGACGAUGGAUGCUUUGAUUCAAAAGAUAUAAGAAGCGUUUUUGACAGGAACAACCCUAAAAUUUGGAUUUUUCAUCGUAGCCUGAAACCAACGAAUAAACAGUUAGCCGCAGCUUUCCAUUUCGUCCGCAAAUACGGUUUUCGCAAAAACAGGCUAAGGAAAGUCUCGCAUACGAAAUGUGUGUAUCCGAGGAUCGCUUCGUAAAUAAAGAAUCGAGAGAAUUUAUUCCGAAAUAUGUUUACUUUUUCUCGCCGUAUGUAGAUUUCAAAUCCAAGUUGGACUUCAUUUACAGUUUGGAACUACAAUUUCUGAAAGAACACGUUUGUGCAUAAGGAAACAAACGGUACACACGUUGUUUCUGAAGUAGGCCAUAGAUUGUAGUCUAAUGUCUAAUUGUUGUGACUGAGAAGUAUCGACGGUGACACUGAAGAAACGCGUAACUAGUUUGCGGUGUUUCUAAAUCUCCGCGCCCUUUUGAUUUUAUCAAAAAGGAGUAAACUAUGACUAUUGCUAA